RNAcentral lists this ribosomal RNA (424 nucleotides) under uncultured bacterium. Its description in RNAcentral is "bacterial SSU rRNA". It matches the Rfam family "Bacterial small subunit ribosomal RNA", at positions 30 to 451 of the family's 1533-position model. The record is from RNAcentral.
AUUGAACGCUGGCGGCAUGCCUUACACAUGCAAGUCGAACGGCAGCACGGGAGCUUGCUCCUGGUGGCGAGUGGCGAACGGGUGAGUAAUACAUCGGAACGUACCCUGAAGUGGGGGAUAACGUAGCGAAAGUUACGCUAAUACCGCAUAUUCUGUGAGCAGGAAAGAGGGGGAUCGCAAGACCUCUUGCUUUAGGAGCGGCCGAUGUCGGAUUAGCUAGUUGGUGAGGUAAAGGCUCACCAAGGCGACGAUCCGUAGCGGGUCUGAGAGGAUGAUCCGCCACACUGGGACUGAGACACGGCCCAGACUCCUACGGGAGGCAGCAGUGGGGGAAUUUUGGACAAUGGGCGCAAGCCUGAUCCAGCCAUGCCGCGUGAGUGAAGAAGGCCUUCGGUUGUAAAGACUCUUUCGGUUGGGGGUAAGG